RNAcentral lists this ribosomal RNA (345 nucleotides) under Triticum aestivum (bread wheat). RNAcentral describes it as "partial small subunit ribosomal RNA". The record is from RNAcentral. Lineage: Eukaryota; Viridiplantae; Streptophyta; Magnoliopsida; Poales; Poaceae.
AUGAUGCUGUGUUUGUGGUCAUGGACAGAUUCUCUAAAAUGGCUCAUUUCAUGCCAUGUCGCAAGACAACAGAUGCUCAUCAUGUGGCUAACCUAUUCUUUCGAGAAGUGGUCAGACUUCAUGGAGUUCCAAGGUCCAUCGUCUCAAACCGCGAUAGCAAGUUUCUUGCUGCAUUUUGGCUCACUUUGUGGAAGCAAGUCAACACUGCAUUCAGAUUUUCUAGCACUGCCUAUCCACAAACAGAUGGACAAAAUGGAAGCGGUGAACAAUUUUUUGGGUAAUCCUACAAUAACUCUUUUUUCAUUGUCUACGAUGAAGUUCCAUCACACGUGGUGGACCUCGUGA